GUGAAUCAUCGAAUCUUUGAACGCAAAUUGCACUUUCUGGUAAUGCGGAGAGUAUGUGUGUUUGAGGGUUAGCUUAGAUAAAAAACGGCGUGGUUGUUGCCUUUCGUGGUGACGCACCGGAUUUGGGUAGUCUUGGCUUCGGUUUAGUGAACUAAAAUUUUGCAUGAUUUUUUCGAACGUAUUUAAAUGCUUUUAUGUACGUUUGCGAUAGCGAAUUCUAGGUGCGGUUAUGCUCAUGACUCGUGAU
This 247-nucleotide unclassified non-coding RNA is filed under the name Glomus sp. Its description in RNAcentral is "partial internal transcribed spacer 2". The stretch from base 1 to 71 matches the Rfam family "5.8S ribosomal RNA", at positions 84 to 154 of the family's 154-position model. Lineage: Eukaryota; Fungi; Glomeromycota; Glomeromycetes; Glomerales; Glomeraceae. The record is from RNAcentral.